This 497-nucleotide ribosomal RNA is filed under the name uncultured bacterium. RNAcentral describes it as "partial 16S ribosomal RNA". It matches the Rfam family "Bacterial small subunit ribosomal RNA", at positions 28 to 507 of the family's 1533-position model. The record is from RNAcentral.
GAUGAACGCUGGCGGCGUGCCUAAUACAUGCAAGUCGAGCGAACGGACGAGAAGCUUGCUUCUCUGAUGUUAGCGGCGGACGGGUGAGUAACACGUGGAUAACCUACCUAUAAGACUGGGAUAACUUCGGGAAACAGGAGCUAAUACCGGAUAAUAUUUUGAACCGCAUGGUUCAAAAGUGAAAGACGGUCUUGCUGUCACUUAUAGAUGGAUCCGCGCUGCAUUAGCUAGUUGGUAAGGUAACGGCUUACCAAGGCAACGAUGCAUAGCCGACCUGAGAGGGUGAUCGGCCACACUGGAAGUGAGACACGGUCCAGACUCCUACGGUAGGCAGCAGUAGGGAAUCUUCCGCAAAGGGCGAAAGCCUGACGGAGCAACGCCGCGUGAGUGAUGAAGGUCUUCGGAUCGUAAAACUCUGUUAUUAGGGAAGAACAUAUGUGUAAGUAACUGUGCACAUCUUGACGGUACCUAAGCAGAAAGCCACGGCUAACUACGUG